RNAcentral lists this ribosomal RNA (484 nucleotides) under uncultured bacterium. RNAcentral's name for it is "partial 16S ribosomal RNA". It matches the Rfam family "Bacterial small subunit ribosomal RNA", at positions 28 to 523 of the family's 1533-position model. The record is from RNAcentral.
GACGAACGCUGGCGGCGUGCUUAACACAUGCAAGUCGAACGAUGAAGCCGGAGCUUGCUCUGGUGAAUUAGUGGCGAACGGGUGAGUAACACGAGAGUAACCUGCCCUUGAAUCUGGGAUAACUGCGGGAAACUGUAGCUAACACCGGAUACGACCCUCGGCGGCAUUCCCUGGGGGUGGAAAGAAUUUCGGUCAAGGAUGGACCCGCGGCCUAGCAGCUAGUUGGUGAGGUAAAGGCUCACAAAGGCGACGACAGGUAGCCGGCCGGAGAGGGUGACCGGCCACACUGGGACUGAGACACGGCCCAGACUCCUACGGGAGGCAGCAGUGGGGAAUAUUGCACAAUGGGCGCAAGCCUGAUGCAGCAACGCCGCGUGAGGGAUGACGGCCUUCGGGUUGUAAACCUCUUUUAGCAGGGAAGAAGCGAAAGUGACGGUACCUGCAGAAAAAGCACCGGCUAACUACGUGCCAGCCGCCGCAGUAA